This 464-nucleotide ribosomal RNA is filed under the name uncultured bacterium. Its description in RNAcentral is "partial 16S ribosomal RNA". The record is from RNAcentral.
GACUACUGGGGUAUCUAAUCCCGUUUGAUCCCCUGGCUUUCGUACCUCAGCGUCAGUAACGGCCCAGAGAGCUGCCUUCGCCUUCGGUGUUCCUCUUGAUAUCUACGCAUUUCACCGCUCCACCAAGAGUUCCGCUCUCCUCUACCGCACUCUAGCACGUCAGUAUGCAAAGCUGUUCCACGGGUAAGCCGUGGGCUUUCACCCCGCACUUGACGCGCCGCCUACGUACGCUUUAUGCCCAGUAAUUCCGAACAACGUUAGCACCCUCUGUAUUACCGCGGCUGCUGGCACAGAGUUAGCCGGUGCUUCCUCCAGGGCUUACGUCACACGACUUGCUGUUCGCAAGCCGCUCUUCAUAACCCUCGACAGGAGUUUACAACCCUAAGGCCUUCGUCCUCCACGCGGCGUCGCUCCGUCAGGCUUUCGCCCAUUGCGGAAGAUCCUCGACUGCAGCCCCCCGUAGG